RNAcentral lists this ribosomal RNA (468 nucleotides) under uncultured bacterium. Its description in RNAcentral is "partial 16S ribosomal RNA". It matches the Rfam family "Bacterial small subunit ribosomal RNA", at positions 28 to 507 of the family's 1533-position model. The record is from RNAcentral.
GACGAACGCUGGCGGUGUGCUUAACACAUGCAAGUCGAACGGAAAGGCCCUGCUUUUGUGGGGUGCUCGAGUGGCGAACGGGUGAGUAACACGUGAGUAACCUGCCCUUGACUUUGGGAUAACUUCAGGAAACUGGGGCUAAUACCGGAUAGGAGCUCCUGCUGCAUGGUGGGGGUUGGAAAGUUUCGGCGGUUGGGGAUGGACUCGCGGCUUAUCAGCUUGUUGGUGGGGUAGUGGCUUACCAAGGCUUUGACGGGUAGCCGGCCUGAGAGGGUGACCGGCCACAUUGGGACUGAGAUACGGCCCAGACUCCUACGGGAGGCAGCAGUGGGGAAUAUUGCACAAUGGGCGGAAGCCUGAUGCAGCAACGCCGCGUGCGGGAUGACGGCCUUCGGGUUGUAAACCGCUUUCGCCUGUGACGAAGCGGGAGUGACGGUAAUGGGUAAAGAAGCACCGGCUAACUACGUG